UACACAACAGAAACAUGGUCUGCAAAUCAAGACUAACCUCUACCCAAAACUGGGCUCCAAAAUGCGCACACAGGCUUAAUGAAGUUUUAGGGGACACUGCCGGCUCUAUUCAUUUCAUUAUCUAUCGUCGUACUGGUAGUAUCGUGCUGCGCCGACAAACUCUCUCUUUCUGCGCUGUCCUGCUUCCAAUUUUGCUUCCUUCUUGCUUCGCUGUGGGAAAUUUUAAAUUACAUUCGUCAAAUUCUUUGCAUUUUUAAAGGAUAUUGGUCAUUUUCCAGUUUUAUUUUCAGAGAUGGCAUCCACUAAGGCAGAUCCCCCCAAACCAGCCAAUCAGGAGGAGGAGGAGGAGGUCGACAUUGACCUCGGUGACCCCGACGUCCAAAGCGCAGCUCUCAAAAUCCAGGCCGGGUUCCGCGGCAUCAAGGCACGAAAAGAAGUCAAGGACGUCAAAGGGAAGGAGAGCAAACCAGGGAGCUCCUAGGACAGUCCAAGAACUCUUUAAUAAAACAACACAUUUUAUACUCGUUAUUUAGUCCUACGACACGCCCGUACUCGUAGAGCUAAAACUAUUUAUACUCGUCAAAUAGACAGCGUCAUUUACAUUAUAGGUGUAGGAAAGUAAGAGUCAUAGAGGGGUAGACAUGGAUUGAUGUCCAAAGUUAAGAAGAAAUUCUAGAUGAGUGAGUUUUAGAACAGUGCCCAUCUACAGCAACAGUUUAUUGCAGAAAGAGCUUGUUUUGGAAAGGUGUAUCAAAAAGGGAAAUGCAAGUUCUUUCUCAAAUGAUUAGGUACUUGUAAUUCUCCACCCUCUUUCUCCCUUUCUUCUACCCCCCCCCCCCUAUUCCUUUCUACAUCUUCUCUCUCCUUUCCCUUCCUAUCCCCCUCUCUCGCUCUCUCUCUCUCUCUCUCUUUCUUCUUCCUCUUUCACCUUUACAUGAAUGAAAUACCACUUUUUUUACCAACAGUUUAAAUAUUAUCACAUAUGAAACCCAAAGUGAAAAACAAAAAGACUUGCAUCACGUGACUCUGUAACGACUUGAUUGCUUCUAUCGUUCUCGGUCACCCAUGUGUAACGCAGAGCUGAACAGUGUCAAGUUUGACAGGUCGAUAACUGCCGCAUGGUUUAUGAUCGUGCUGGCUCCGGACCAUUAGUUACUGCAUGCAUUUUACAGGUUCUAAGUAUUGGAACACUCCUUUCUUUAAUCAACCUUGGUGUUUAACUCCUCCAUGUGGGGAACAAAUAACCUGUCCUAAUGCCAUCUUGGAUAAUUGGAAAGCAAUAAUUGAUGAUUAAUCAUUCGCUGAAUGCGUUUGGGAGUACGUUCCAACCUUUUCUCAAGGUACAUUAUCGGUACAACUAUGCAAACUUCUUGUUCAUUCUCUAGUUUAAAAUUCAUGCUUUGAUUCCACAAGAUCCUGAAUGGAUAUUCCACAUGACUCAAUUCCAAUGAUAGAAUUCAGAGUUCCACUUAAAUGAAGUCUUUCUGUACCAUGUUUUAUCAUAUUGCGUGAUUAUAUACAGUGUACUUUUGUUCAUGGAUAAAGGUAUGUUCUCUAUCAUGAUUUCAGAUCGUUGCACAACUCCAAUGUGAGCACAAGUUUGUCUCGGUAUCGUAUGUGUUCGUACAUGUAUGUUGUUCCUCCUUUACAUGCAAAAAAAGGGAGUAUUCACACUUUCAAAUAAGGCAUACUGUACAUCAUGCAGAUCAGGGAGUAUAGUAGGAACACACCUUUUCCAGGUUGCAAUCGUGGUGAAUUCAUACCAUGUACACGUACAUUUAGAUCAAAUUUCCACCCAGGACUUUGCAUCACAGCAACCAUUCAUCUACAUGUACAUGUAAGUGUGUAUAUUCACACCUGAAUGCCAUGUUUAUUCCGUAUUCACAAAUCUAUUUGUUGUAUAAUUCCAUAUUUCACAUAUAGUAAUUCCUAUUUUGAUAUCCAUAUGUAUUUUUGCAAUAUCAUCAUAGAACGUGUAUUCAAAGCAAUGAAGAUUUGCAAAGCCAUUCCAUUAUAUACAUUUUCAUAGCAGAAGGAAGUUUGAAACACCUUCUAAAGAUUGCAUAUGUCGAAAAAAGACAUGUGAAAUAUAUAGCAUGGCAAAAAAUGAUAUCCAAUCUGUAUUCCUGUAAUAAAUUUGCAGCACAGUACAAGCAGAAGAUAUAUAGCCAUGGUAAUCUCCCUACUCGAUAUUCCAUUGCAAACAGAACUAUCAUAAGUGCAUUGAUUUGCAGAGUCGAUGCUUUCACAGCUGUUGAUAGAUUUCCAUCAGGAACCAAAAAUAAUAAAUAUACCCAAAACCAGUCGGGCAUUGCCUGCCCUGGACACAAAACUCAAUUACUAGAACCCUAAAAAGGUCAACACGGUGGUUUUUCAUUAAGGAAUCAGCCAUUAAAAUCAAUAUUUCUUGCCUUGCUGUCCUGUUCAAGGUAAAAUGAAAUUCAGGCUACAUUUCGAGAUGAGCUGACGAUAAAGCAAUACAUGGGGAGUUAUGUUGUAGUCUACGAUUGUAUUCGGACGUAUAUAGGUCACAAAUUGUUGUUUGUCCUCAUUAUUUAACCCCUUUAACUACUAAAAUCAAAGAUGCGAUUUAAGACAUAUCAUUCCUUAUCUUUUCACUUGCAAUGAUACAGAGAUAGCUGUGCAGAAGUUGAAAUGCUUCUUGCAUUAUUCCAUACUGGUACUUAUACUAUGCAAUGCAUGCAGGUAAUUUACAUGAAUAAUGGUAACAUGCAUGUAUAUUUCAUUCACUUGAAGUGAAAAUAACAAAUAGCAAAUAGUUAAUUUCACAUACUCUGUGUACACAAAUCAAGAUGUAUAUUACAAGUUGUACAUGAAAUUUACAUUUGUUGUACUUUUGUACAUAUGUGCAUGUAACUUGCAUGUACAGGGCUGUAUCUACAUUUACUUCGCUGUGAAAAAUGGCGGUGGAACGCAUAACAGGAUUGAAUUUAAAAAGUACAACAUUCGUAAAAUAUAUCCUGUUUUUCAUGUCAGUAUGAGAAGAUAUUGUAGCAAAGAAAGGGCUGAGGUAAAUUUAUAACGAUAAGCAUUUGGAAAAGCAUUCAGAAAUGGUUAAUUUGUCCUUUUUUUUUCUUGGAUGAGGACAGGAAAAGUGGCAUCAAAACAUGCAGGGAAUACAUGUUAUGCUGUUUAAAGCAUUCUACAAACUUCAUGACGUAUCUUUCAGUGUAUAUAGUUCUUCUCGACUGGUUUAUUUAAGAUGGUAAAGAAAAAAUAGUUGAUCUUUAAGUUGAUGUAACAUACUUGAGCAAUAAUCCAACCAAUAAUUCAAGAUUUGUAUCAAGUUAUUAGACAGUGCCUUUGUGGAAAAUCUCACGAAUACAGGUACAGAGUUUUUUGUAGAAUUUCUAAAGUUUUGCAAUCUUUCUAGCAAUACUUCUCUCUGUAAUUUCUUUCUUUUUGCAUUCAAACUUAAAGGAUGUCAAUAACCUGCCAAAAAAAUGCAGAGGUACACAUAUCGCAGAAGCAUGGAAUUUCAUAUUUUGCAGUUGUCAGUGAAAUGUAAUAAUCAUACCAUACGAUAUAUAUGCAUGAGUCUUGAAAACAUUCUCGUAUUCAAUCGAGGAUCUUUUUGAGCCUAAGGCAAUGGCAUUGUCCAUAAUGAGAUGCUCCAGAAAUAAGUUUGGUACGUUAGCCAAGAGAAAAAGGUCAGAAAAGAUGUUCAUAUUUUGAUGCUCUAGGGCAUUAUUCGUCCACGCUUCUUAUGCACAGGCAAGCUGUAUUCAUCGUCGUAUUAUGUUACGAUUGUAAGCUCAAAUCUAUUUAUGCCACCGUUAUCUACUCCGCUAUCUUGUUUUUUGGAGUGGCAUAAAUAUUCAAAGUGUUUUGGAGUGGCACUUAAGUCCAUAUCGCGCUUGCUGUUACGACUAUAGUGCAUAGUUGGAAUUCCUCUGAUUGUAUGAUUGGAAUUUCAACUAUGUCCUUCAAGUCUUUAAUUGUGGAACAGGGCUUUGAAGUGUUGUAAAGCAUAUGGGAAUGUGUUCAGAUGGCCUAUUUAAUCCUAAGGGUAUCCUGGACUAAAUGCAUAUAUGCAUAUGGAAUGUGUUUAGACGGCCAAUUCAAUCCUUAGUGUACCCUGGACUACAUGCAUAUACAUGUAGCAAUGUGUUCAGAUGGCCAACUUAAUCCUAAGUGUACCAUGGAUUACAUGCAUAUACAUGUAGGAAUGUGUUCAGAUAGACGACUUAAUUUCUAAGUCUAUCAUGGAUUACAAACAUAUAGGACUGCGUUCAAUGGCUCACUUAAUCAUAAUGCAUAUUAUGACUGGUAUUUAUUCUAUGCAUUUUAUGAUAAGGUUCCUUGUUACAUGUGGCUGUACAUAAUUAUAAAAAAAAAUCUUUGAAAGAGUGCGUUUAGAUGGCCACACCACCAAUCUUAUCCAAUGUACGAAGAAACGAGAAGUGACUUUUGAAAUUUAUGCUCCUAUUGUUUUGUUAUUGACAAAGUUUAUCUUAUUAUAAAACUAAAACAUGAUACCCCAAAAGUACACCGUCUUACUUGUGUACAUUAAUGUCCAUUGCAGUAUACAAAAGAAAUAACCUGCUGCGAUAUAAUUUCAUCCAGUUAUACUUUGGAGCUCCUCCUCCUCCUCAUUAUUUAGCUUUUAAUAUUGAUAUAUUUGUAUAACAAAAUCAUGUACAACUUAGAGUGUUAAAAGAAGAGAACAUAGUUACAUGAUAUGGGUAUGUAGAUAGAAAUUUGUUGUCAUGUUUUUGGUACUGAUAUAUGUAUAUAAACAAUGUUUUUAUGUAAAGGCUGUUCGUUUAUAUAGAAAAUGAAAGAAGUUAUUAUUCAGUGUUAAGUUUGAUUUCUGUUUUCUGACUUUUAUUGAGUUAAGAAACAUUGUUUAUAAUCUCACAUUCUUAUAAGUUAUAUGUUCAUAUUUUAGAAGAUUAAUUAUGGUCAUGGUAAAAUAUCAUUUGCAAAUAAUAAAUAAAAAGAAAGAAGAGAAUAAAGGUAACCUCCUUCUUUCUCUAGAAUGAAGAUUGCAACCUAUUUUGAAAUCACUUUUCUGGUGAUAUUUGUCCUUAUAUUCUGGUGGGGGGGGGGGGGGGGGGGGUUCCUAAACUUGAAGGGUGUAAAAGUGAAUGAUAACAUGAAGGAAGAGAUAAUAAAAGGCACCUGUUGUCAAACACUCCUGAAUGUUAUAUGAAGCCUUAUACUAUUGUGGUCUACUACUAACGAAUGCUUUGGGGGUUAAUCAUAUUUUUUUAGGAGCAAAGGUUCAAUUUAUGCAAAGGCCUUUGUUUUUUUCAUUUAACAUCGGAUCACUGCUUUAAGAAAGUAAAUAAUGUAAGGAAACCACUUUUCCAUAUGCCUUUUUUGUAAGCCAAAAUAAAAAAAAUCAGUUGUAUUAAGUUACUUUUAAUAUUAUUAUUCAUUAUUACUUUUAAGUUGUAAAAAAUGUAAAGUUAUGAUUUAUUGGUAAAGCCCUGGUUUAUUUAUGGUUUGCUUCAGAUAGGCUAAUUUGUGCAAAAGGCAUUUUUAUUGUGAAUAAAAGUCAUAUUCGCAACAGUUUAUAAACUGUUUUUAUCGUU
This 5561-nucleotide long non-coding RNA is filed under the name Strongylocentrotus purpuratus (purple sea urchin). RNAcentral's name for it is "uncharacterized LOC115920915". The record is from RNAcentral. Lineage: Eukaryota; Metazoa; Echinodermata; Echinoidea; Camarodonta; Strongylocentrotidae.